RNAcentral lists this ribosomal RNA (1302 nucleotides) under metagenome. Its description in RNAcentral is "bacterial LSU rRNA". It matches the Rfam family "Bacterial large subunit ribosomal RNA", at positions 1634 to 2925 of the family's 2925-position model. The record is from RNAcentral.
CUACACGACCGUACCGCAAACCGACACUGGUGCGCGAGAUGAGUAUUCUAAGGCGCUUGAGAGAACUCAGGAGAAGGAACUCGGCAAAUUGACACCGUAACUUCGGAAGAAGGUGUGCCUUUAGUAGGUGAAGUCCCUCGCGGAUGGAGCCCAAUGAGGUUGCAAAAAAUCGGUGGCUGCGACUGUUUAUUAAAAACACAGCACUCUGCAAACACGAAAGUGGACGUAUAGGGUGUGACGCCUGCCCGGUGCUGGAAGAUUAAAUGAUGGGGUGCAAGCUCUUGAUUGAAGUCCCAGUAAACGGCGGCCGUAACUAUAACGGUCCUAAGGUAGCGAAAUUCCUUGUCGGGUAAGUUCCGACCUGCACGAAUGGCGUAACGAUGGCCACACUGUCUCCUCCUGAGACUCAGCGAAGUUGAAAUGUUUGUGAUGAUGCAAUCUCCCCGCGGAAAGACGGAAAGACCCCAUGAACCUUUACUGUAGCUUUGUAUUGGACUUUGAACAGAUCUGUGUAGGAUAGGUGGGAGGCUUUGAAGCAGGGUCCUAGAUCUUGUGGAGCCAACGUUGAAAUACCACCCUGGUGUGUUUGAGGUUCUAACCUAGGCCCGUAAUCCGGGUUGGGGACAGUGCAUGGUAGGCAGUUUGACUGGGGCGGACUCCUCCCAAAGUGUAACGGAGGAGUUCGAAGGUACGCUAGUUACGGUCGGACAUCGUGACGAUAGUGCAAUGGCAUAAGCGUGCUUAACUGCGAGACUGACAAGUCGAGCAGAUGCGAAAGCAGGACAUAGUGAUCCGGUGGUUCUGUAUGGAAGGGCCAUCGCUCAACGGAUAAAAGGUACUCUGGGGAUAACAGGCUGAUACCGCCCAAGAGUUCAUAUCGACGGCGGUGUUUGGCACCUCGAUGUCGGCUCAUCUCAUCCUGGGGCUGUAGCCGGUCCCAAGGGUAUGGCUGUUCGCCAUUUAAAGAGGUACGUGAGCUGGGUUUAAAACGUCGUGAGACAGUUUGGUCCCUAUCUUCCGUGGGCGCUGCAGAUUUGAGGAAGCCUGCUCCUAGUACGAGAGGACCGGAGUGGACGCACCUCUGGUGUAUCGGUUGUCACGCCAGUGGCAUUGCCGAGUAGCUAUGUGCGGAAGAGAUAACCGCUGAAAGCAUCUAAGCGGGAAACUCGUUUCAAGAUGAGAUCUGCCGGGGCCUUGAGCCCCCUGAAGAGUCGUUCAAGACCAGGACGUUGAUAGGUCGGGUGUGGAAGCGCAGUAAUGCGUUAAGCUAACCGAUACUAAUUGCUCGUGCGGCUUGACCAG